This 452-nucleotide ribosomal RNA is filed under the name uncultured organism. RNAcentral describes it as "partial 16S ribosomal RNA". It matches the Rfam family "Bacterial small subunit ribosomal RNA", at positions 333 to 801 of the family's 1533-position model. The record is from RNAcentral.
ACACUCCUGCGGGAGGCAGCAGUGGGGAAUAUUGGACAAUGGGCGCAAGCCUGAUCCAGCCAUGCCGCGUGAGUGAUGAAGGCCCUAGGGUUGUAAAGCUCUUUCACCGGUGAAGAUAAUGACGGUAACCGGAGAAGAAGCCCCGGCUAACUUCGUGCCAGCAGCCGCGGUAAUACGAAGGGGGCUAGCGUUGUUCGGAUUUACUGGGCGUAAAGCGCACGUAGGCGGACUAUUAAGUCAGGGGUGAAAUCCCGGGGCUCAACCCCGGAACUGCCUUUGAUACUGGUAGUCUUGAGUUCGAGAGAGGUGAGUGGAAUUCCGGGUGUAGAGGUGAAAUGCGUAGAUAUUCGGAGGAACACCAGUGGCGAAGGCGGCUCACUGGCUCGAUACUGACGCUGAGGUGCGAAAGCGUGGGUAGCAAACAGGAUUAGAUACCCUUGUAGUCCCAUGAU